CAAAUGACUUUUGGCAACGGAUAUUUUGGCUUUUGCAUUGAUUAAAAACGUAACGAAAUGCCAUACUUGGUGUGAAUUGGAAAAUCCCGUGAACCAUUCAAUCUUUGAACGCAAGGUGCGCCUGAAGCCAUUAAGUUGAGGGCACGUCUGGCUUGGUGGAAAA
Molecule: ribosomal RNA, 163 nt
Filed under: Bauhinia championii
Lineage: Eukaryota; Viridiplantae; Streptophyta; Magnoliopsida; Fabales; Fabaceae
Description: 5.8S ribosomal RNA
Rfam family: 5.8S ribosomal RNA
About the family: 5.8S ribosomal RNA (5.8S rRNA) is a component of the large subunit of the eukaryotic ribosome. It is transcribed by RNA polymerase I as part of the 45S precursor that also contains 18S and 28S rRNA.
Source: RNAcentral